RNAcentral lists this ribosomal RNA (459 nucleotides) under uncultured bacterium. Its description in RNAcentral is "partial 16S ribosomal RNA". It matches the Rfam family "Bacterial small subunit ribosomal RNA", at positions 338 to 795 of the family's 1533-position model. The record is from RNAcentral.
CCUACGGGAGGCAGCAGUGAGGAAUAUUGGUCAAUGGGCGCGAGCCUGAACCAGCCAAGUCGCGUGAGGGAAGACGGUCCUAUGGAUUGUAAACCUCUUUUGUCGGGGAGCAAAAGACGCCACGCGUGGCGUUCCGAGAGUACCCGAAGAAAAAGCAUCGGCUAACUCCGUGCCAGCAGCCGCGGUAAUACGGAGGAUGCGAGCGUUAUCCGGAUUUAUUGGGUUUAAGGGGUGCGUAGGCGGAAUAUCAAGUCAGCGGUAAAAAGUCGGGGCUCAACCCCGUCGUGCCGUUGAAACUGAUGUUCUUGAGUGGGCGAGAGGUAUGCGGAAUGCGUGGUGUAGCGGUGAAAUGCAUAGAUAUCACGCAGAACUCCGAUUGCGAAGGCAGCAUACCGGCGCCCAACUGACGCUGAAGCACGAAAGCGUGGGUAUCGAACAGGAUUAGAUACCCUGGUAGUC